AUGAAAGCGAUGACAAAAGACAAGCUAACUAUUUGUCAAUGGGUUAACAGAGAACCGGGUAAGGUGAAAGCCGGCACCUAUACAGUAUUUAGUGUCACUUUUUAGUUCUUUGUCGAAAAGUAUUCUUAGUAGGCGAAGACGGAGGGCCAACCGUUAAAAAGGCAGGUGUCCAAAGAAUAAGUGGCUGCAUAAUGCAGCAAUUAGGGUGGUACCGCGGGAGUAGUCUUCUCGUCCCUGUA
RNAcentral lists this non-coding RNA (239 nucleotides) under Desulfobacter sp. RNAcentral's name for it is "Desulfitibacter sp. T-box sequence". It matches the Rfam family "T-box leader". Rfam says of the family: Uncharged tRNA acts as the effector for transcription antitermination of genes in the T-box leader family. T-boxes are found upstream of many aminoacyl-tRNA synthetase genes and some amino acid biosynthetic genes usually in Gram-positive bacteria. Lineage: Bacteria; Pseudomonadati; Thermodesulfobacteriota; Desulfobacteria; Desulfobacterales; Desulfobacteraceae. The record is from RNAcentral.